GCUCGUGGAUCGAUGAAGACCGCAGCUAAAUGCGCGUCAGAAUGUGAACUGCAGGACACAUGAACACCGACAAGUUGAACGCAUAUUGCACACCGUACAACAGUACGAUGUACACAUUUUUGAGUGCCUAUGUUUAUCCAUUCAACUGUACGUGCGUGCGCGUCCCGCCACAGCGCUGGCGCGAGGACAGGCGCACCGCGUACGCGCAGUGACGUUGAAUACAUCCCCUAGACCAACGCGCUUGGUUACGUUGUAUUUCAUCGGCAGGACACCAACAACCAGUAGGCCUCAAAUAAUGUGUGACUACCCCCUAAAUUUAAGCA
RNAcentral lists this ribosomal RNA (323 nucleotides) under Aedes rubrithorax. RNAcentral's name for it is "eukaryotic LSU rRNA". The stretch from base 1 to 129 matches the Rfam family "5.8S ribosomal RNA", at positions 24 to 154 of the family's 154-position model. Lineage: Eukaryota; Metazoa; Arthropoda; Insecta; Diptera; Culicidae. The record is from RNAcentral.